GCUUCCAUAGCUCAGUUGGUAGUAGCGUCACUUUAGUAAGGUGAAGGUCAUGAGUUCAAAUCUCAUUGGAAGCA
Molecule: non-coding RNA, 74 nt
Organism: Chloropicon primus
Lineage: Eukaryota; Viridiplantae; Chlorophyta; Chloropicophyceae; Chloropicales; Chloropicaceae
Source: the annotation of a GenBank genome assembly